RNAcentral lists this ribosomal RNA (462 nucleotides) under uncultured bacterium. Its description in RNAcentral is "partial 16S ribosomal RNA". It matches the Rfam family "Bacterial small subunit ribosomal RNA", at positions 29 to 507 of the family's 1533-position model. The record is from RNAcentral.
AGUGAACGCUGGCGGCGUGCCUAAUACAUGCAAGUCGAACGGAGAUUAAGUAGCUUGCUAUUUAAUCUUAGUGGCGCACGGGUGAGUAAUAUAUAGCUAACUUGCCCAUUACUAAGGGACAACAGUUGGAAACGACUGCUAAUACCUUAUACUCCGUAUCUAUAUAAGUAGAUACGGGAAAGUUUUUCGGUAAUGGAUAGGGCUAUAUCGUAUCAGCUAGUUGGUAAGGUAAUGGCUUACCAAGGCUAUGACGCGUAACUGGUCUGAGAGGAUGAUCAGUCACACUGGAAGUGAGACACGGGUCAGACUCCUACGGGAGGCAGCAGUAGGGAAUAUGGCUCAAUGGGGGAAACCCUGAAGCAGCAACGCCGCGUGGAGGAUGACACUUUUCGGAGAGUAAACUUCUUUUCUUGGGAAAGAAUUAUGACGGUACCCAAGGAAUAAGCACCGGCUAACUCCGUG